ACUACGCUGACGAGCCCCAAAAGGGCGAAACAGCUGUCCGCAGU
This 44-nucleotide non-coding RNA is filed under the name Paramuricea clavata. The record is from RNAcentral. Lineage: Eukaryota; Metazoa; Cnidaria; Anthozoa; Malacalcyonacea; Plexauridae.